GGACCCGCACAAGCGGUGGAGCAUGUGGUUUAAUUCGAAGCAACGCGAAGAACCUUACCCCGGUCUUGACAUCCCAAGAAGUCGGCGUUACGGCCGAUGUGCCCUUCGGGGAACUUGGUGACAGGUGCUGCAUGGCUGUCGUCAGCUCGUGUUGUGAAAUGUUCGGUUAAGUCCGGCAACGAGCGCAACCCUUGUCCUUAGUUGCCAGCGCGUCAUGGCGGGCCACUCUAAGGAGACUGCCGGUGUGAAACCGGAGGAAGGUGGGGAUGACGUCAAGUCCUCAUGGCCCUUACGAUCGGGGGCUACACACGUGCUACAAUGGGCGGUACAACGAGUCGCAAGGUCGCGAGGCC
Molecule: ribosomal RNA, 353 nt
Filed under: uncultured bacterium
Lineage: Bacteria
Description: bacterial SSU rRNA
Rfam family: Bacterial small subunit ribosomal RNA
Source: RNAcentral